This 1342-nucleotide ribosomal RNA is filed under the name metagenome. Its description in RNAcentral is "SSU rRNA". It matches the Rfam family "Eukaryotic small subunit ribosomal RNA", at positions 273 to 1674 of the family's 1831-position model. The record is from RNAcentral.
CAGAAUUCUGCGAUAAAUCAUUCAAGUUUCUGCCCUAUCAGCUUUGGAUGGUAGUGUAUUGGACUACCAUGGCAGUCACGGGUAACGGAGAAUUAGGGUUCGAUUCCGGAGAGGGAGCCUGAGAAACGGCUACCACAUCUACGGAAGGCAGCAGGCGCGAAAAUUGCCCAAUCCUAACAUAGGGAGGCAGUGACAAGAAAUAACAACUCUCGACUUUGUUGAGAAGUGUAAUGAGGCUAAUUUACAAACCUUACCGAAAGCAAUUGGAGGACAAGUCUGGUGCCAGCACCCGCGGUAAUUCCAGCUCCAAUAGCGUAUAUUAAAGUUGUUGCAGUAAAAAAGCUCGUAGUUGAAAAUCUGGUUGUAUUGGGCUCCUGCACUCGAUGCGUGAGUACCAGCAGCCAUCCGCUUGCAAGUACAUGUCCUUCCUUAACCGGUAGGCUGUAUGAGUAAGCAAUUUACCUUGAGAAAAACAGAGUGUUCCAGGCAGGUUUGUCCGGAAUGCAUUAGCAUGGAAUAAUAGAAUAUGACUGAAGUCGAUUUAUUGGUUUGAGGCUUUAGUAAUGAUUAAUAGGAACAGUCGGGGGCAUUAGUACUUGUCAGCUAGAGGUGAAAUUCCAGGAUUUGACAAAGACUAACUGAUGCGAAAGCGUUUGCCAAGGAUGUUUUCAUUAAUCAAGAACGAAAGUUAGGGGAUCAAAGACGAUCAGAUACCGUCCUAGUCUUAACUAUAAACCAUACCGACUCGGAUUCAGAUGAAUAUUAAAGUUCAUUUGGGACCGUAGGAGAAAUCAAAGUCUUUGGGUUCUGGGGGAGUAUGGUCGCAAGGCUGAAACUUAAAGGAAUUGACGGUUUUGCACCACCAUGGAGUGGAGCCUGCGGCUUAAUUUGACCCAACACUGGGAAACUCAUCAGGGCAAGAAGAUUUUAGGAUUGACAGAUUGAGAGUUCUUUCUUGAUUGGUCUAGUGGUGGUGCAUGGCCGUUCUUAGUUGGUGGAGUGAUUUGUCUGGUUAAUUCCGUUAACGAACGAGACCUUAACCUGCUAACUAGUACUGCGUUCUCAAUCGCAGCUACUUCUUAGAGGGACUAUGUGAUUCCAUCACAUGGAAGUUUGAGGCAAUAACAGGUCUGUGAUGCCCUUAGAUGUCCUGAGCUGCACGCGCGCUACAAUGAUGCAUUCAACAAGCAUUUCCUGAUCCGAAAGGAUUUGGGUAAUCUUUUUAGGGUGCAUCGUGCUAGGGAUAGAUCUUUGUAAUUAUGGAUCUUGAACGAGGAAUUCCUAGUAAGCGCAAGUCAUCAGCUUGUGCUGAUUACGUCCCUGCAAAAUGUACACACCGCCC